Molecule: small nuclear RNA, 199 nt
Organism: Hyla sarda
Lineage: Eukaryota; Metazoa; Chordata; Amphibia; Anura; Hylidae
Product: U2 spliceosomal RNA
Exons: 1
Source: RefSeq, a predicted model, not a curated record
CUUUAAACUCUACCUUUUGGCUAAGUUCAAGUGUAGUAUCUGUUAUUAUCAGUUUAAUAUCUGAUAUGUUCCCUAUUUGGGAACUAUAUAUUAAUAAAAUAUGGAUUUUUUAUAUCGGGGGACGAUUUUGAAGCUUGAUUCCAUCUCGCCCUUUGCAUUGACCCGAUAUGGCUGUAUCUUCGGGUACAGUGCAAAAAAC